GCAGCAUGGUCUUAGCUUGCUAAGGCUGAUGGCGACCGGCGCACGGGUGAGUAACACGUAUCCAACCUGCCGUCUACUCUUGGACAGCCUUCUGAAAGGAAGAUUAAUACAAGAUGGCAUCAUGAGUCCGCAUGUUCACAUGAUUAAAGGUAUUCCGGUAGACGAUGGGGAUGCGUUCCAUUAGAUAGUAGGCGGGGUAACGGCCCACCUAGUCUUCGAUGGAUAGGGGUUCUGAGAGGAAGGUCCCCCACAUUGGAACUGAGACACGGUCCAAACUCCUACGGGAGGCAGCAGUGAGGAAUAUUGGUCAAUGGGCGAGAGCCUGAACCAGCCAAGUAGCGUGAAGGAUGACUGCCCUAUGGGUUGUAAACUUCUUUUAUAAAGGAAUAAAGUCGGGUAUGGAUACCCGUUUGCAUGUACUUUAUGAAUAAGGAUCGGCUAACUCCGUGCCAGCAGCCGCGGUAAUACGGAGGAUCCGAGCGUUAUCCGGAUUUAUUGGGUUUAAAGGGAGCGUAGAUGGAUGUUUAAGUCAGUUGUGAAAGUUUGCGGCUCAACCGUAAAAUUGCAGUUGAUACUGGAUAUCUUGAGUGCAGUUGAGGCAGGCGGAAUUCGUGGUGUAGCGGUGAAAUGCUUAGAUAUCACGAAGAACUCCGAUUGCGAAGGCAGCCUGCUAAGCUGCAACUGACAUUGAGGCUCGAAAGUGUGGGUAUCAAACAGGAUUAGAUACCCUGGUAGUCCACACGGUAAACGAUGAAUACUCGCUGUUUGCGAUAUACUGCAAGCGGCCAAGCGAAAGCGUUAAGUAU
RNAcentral lists this ribosomal RNA (806 nucleotides) under uncultured bacterium. RNAcentral describes it as "bacterial SSU rRNA". It matches the Rfam family "Bacterial small subunit ribosomal RNA", at positions 67 to 867 of the family's 1533-position model. The record is from RNAcentral.